RNAcentral lists this ribosomal RNA (160 nucleotides) under uncultured fermented cassava bacterium M5. RNAcentral's name for it is "partial 16S small subunit ribosomal RNA". It matches the Rfam family "Bacterial small subunit ribosomal RNA", at positions 355 to 507 of the family's 1533-position model. Lineage: Bacteria; Bacillati; Bacillota. The record is from RNAcentral.
UAGGGAAUCUUCCACAAUGGGCGCAAGCCUGAUGGAGCAACACCGCGUGAGUGAAGAAGGGUUUCGGCUCGUAAAGCUCUGUUGUUGAAGAAGAACACGUAUGASAGCAACUGUUCAUGCGUUGACGGUAUUUAACCAGAAAGUCACGGCUAACUACGUG